GGUGCUAAGAGCUUCCAAAAGGGCUGUCAGCUCCUAGCCUUUCCUGAAUAAUGCUGUUUGGUACUCUUUUAGGAACCACGCAAAACAGUAAAACCUUACUUAAAAGUACACAGAAGCCUCAACUUACACAAAAGCCACCUGACGAGUGACUUCUGCAAGAGAUGUAAGACCGUUAAAAGCUAUUUUCCUUGAUGUGUUGGACAUCCUGUGCAAGACACACGACUUGUUUUAGGGAUGCGCCCAUUGUAGAGAGAGAGGCACAAUGCAUUUGUCUCUGAAAAGGGAUUUCUUAGGAAAAAGCAUCUGCCUCCCCUGCAAGCCCCAGAAGACAUAUUGACAACAGGGGGAUUAAGACAUAUUGACAAUGGGAGGAUUAUUUCCUACCCUGGUGUGUGACAAACGCCUGCUAAUACUUGCCCAAGACAAUGCUGUCUCCAUCUCCUCUUAAACACAAAGGCCAUCACCCACCGACUGGACCUGAGGUACCCAUGGGCUACUGACCUUGCCUGUCCUGUGGCCGGCCCAGGAGGAUGCAGGGAAAGUCCUAAGCUGAGACUCUCGGGCCCGGAUUGAUGUGGCUGUGGAGCUGCCCUCCCUUCUGGCAUACCUCUCGUUUUGGCUCUAGGCAUUCCCAUGGCCAGCAGACAGGAAGUACCCAGGGGAAGCUUAACCAAGCAAUUCUUCUCAGAGAAGCAAAGAAGUUGUUUGUAAACCUCGAUGAGCAAGGAGACCUCAGAGGCCUGGCUGGGCAGUUGUCACCCCAGUGCAGGUCCACUUUUCCUUUCUGAAAGUCCUGUUCUCUCCAAUUCCUGACCCCAGAGCCCCGCGAAACUGCCUGCAAGUUCUCAGGACCCUGGCACACAGGUUCAGAUCAGCAAGGUGAAGAGGUAGCAAAGAAUGAGGCAGCCCAUCCAUAGCCCUGAGUGGGCAGGAAGUCCAGGAAGAAACUUCUCAGAUUAUCAAAUGGAUUCUUCAGUUCCCUGACACAGGAUUGUGUAAGAUGUACACAGCCCAUUUUGUCUCCAAGAAACCCCAAAGGACUUAAGUAUCUCCUAGAUCAUCACAAAGGCCCUGUUGGCAUCCACGUCCCCACAUACUCAUCCUGGGUCUGAGGGAAAAGAGAGGGCAGGCAGGCAGCCAGCCUGGGCAGAGAAACACCAGAGCAAAACCCACAGCCAGAGCAGGCAGCACAGAGGAGAAAUGGACAGCCGGCAAGUACAUGAGCCAUCCCUGCCCCCUUCCCCAGCUUCCUUUCACCUUAGCCUGCUUGUUGCUGUCUGGAACUCUCCUUCUGUCUUUAUUUCCUAGCCUGUCACAUGACCCUCCCCUGGAGGCAGGUCCCAGAGGGUGGUCUGACCUGCUCACUUUUGUAUCGCCAGCUCCAAGAGCAGCGCCCAGGAUCAUCCCAACAAAGGUUCAAGACAUGCUUGUUGAAUGAAUGAAUAACAUCUUUGUUCUAUAGAGCUGCCCACCCUGGAUCUUGGCAGUACCCCCAUCUUUGCCCAGAGCCAGGGCAUGUAGAAGCAGUUUAGGAAAUUCUCAUGGAAGCCCCAUGAGAGCAGGUGAGAACCCAGGCACUAAGUAUCAUGGUUAAAAGCCUGAGGCCCCUGGCAUCACAGUCCAGAGAUAACUGCUGUGAGGUUUCCUGUCUGAUUCUAAAGCCUGGAACUAACUGUGGAAAGACCAACAAGGGGAGAAGAAAUGAUGUGUAGAUAGUAACAGGGCUGGGCACAAAGAGCUCGGGAGAGGCUAAGCAGGACUGUGUCCCAUGUCCAGAGUCUCUAUAGCAUGCAUGUGCCGGUGGCGCAAAACCUGAGGUCCUGGAAGACACAGACCUUUUCCGUCCACAGACAGUUCUCUGAAUAUUCCUUUGUCCUAUUACAACCAAGUGCAAAUAUAAAUUUGCACUUGCCACAAAACCUUUUUCUAACCUUUAACUCAUCUGUGAAAACCUGGGUGUGAGGUAAACGUUGACUUGAAGAUGAUCAGGCUGUAUAUUUAAUUUACCAGCUUGCAUGUGAACUUCCCCUUUGAAGUCUUGCUUACUAAUUUCUCUUCACAUUGUCAGUGAUGUUUACUCAGCAUUCUCAGCCCUUCCAUUUUUUGGCUAACCUUUCUUUGGUUAAGCAGCUAGAGCUGGUAUCAGUUUGAAAGCUUCCUUUGCUGGUUAGUUGUAACAGAAGAAUGAUCUAGUUGGCCGCAAUGUUUUUACGAAGGUGUCUGGCCUUUUUACAAUGAGAUUUACAUCAUCCCCUCUUUUUCCCCCUUACACUCAUAAGGGCAGGAGAAAUGGGUUUUAGGCACAGAUGAGUAUUUUCCAGUUUCAGAACAAGUCCCUGGAUACUGUGAAAGAAAACACCUACUGCAUGGCCAGUGGUGACAUAGCAGGGAGCCAGGGCUCCCUUGGCACAUGGUGCCUGCCACUCCCACCAAGAGCCAUGUUUAACCCAGUCGGGCUUUGGGGUGACAGGUCUGUGGUCUGUAGUCUUCAACUGGAUGACCCUUGAAGGGUUUAGAUUUUCUAAGAGAAUAUUGCAAUGACUGAUUGAAAGAUAUGUCUUCAUCUAAUCCUGAGGAAAGAGAAAACCCCAAGUGAGGGAGAGUCUUUGUUGCCUGAAAAAAUGUCAAUGUGAUGAAAGACAAAGCUGAGGAACUGUUUCAGGAUAUGGCAGAUCAAAGAGGAGGAACGUCUAAGUGCAGAGAGCACCGCUGGACUGGAUCCUGGGCCGAGGGAAAAAGAAAUGGCUUUAAAGGACAUUAUUGAGACAAGUGGCUAGAUCUGAAUAUGGAUUGGGAUACUGCACCGAUGCAAGCAGCACAAUACCAUACAAUUGUAUUAACACGAUGAUAUUAUUAUAUUGUCAAAUCUCCUCAUUUGAAUAAUUAUACUUAUGUUUUCAGGAAAUAAGCUGAAAUGUUUAAAGAUAAGCUAGCUCUCAAGCGGUCUGAGAAGAUGUUUGUAUGUAUAUGCAUAUACCUGUGUAUAUGUGUGUAUGUAUGAGAGGGAGCAAAGUGAUAAUGCAAUUAAUGUGGGUCAUUAAUUCUUUUCAUUGUACUAUUUCGUUGUACUAUUCUUACAACUCUAAAUUUCAAAUUAUUUGGGGGGAAGUAAUUUUUCAUUUUCUCUUUUCCUUUCUAUUUUUAAACAUGUCAUCUGUAAAUAUAUGCAGUUGGGUGGUUUCUUUUAUGAGAAGGCAGAAAAAAGUAAUACUUGAAGUAACUGACAUCACAUUUAAUGUCAAUUUAUCACAAUAUUUCUUUAAGCUCUAAUAGUAUAUGAUCCCAGUAAUUACUUCAUGUACUAUAUAAUCUUAAAACUGUUUAAUUUUCUUUUUCUUGCUGAAAGGCUGCUUUGGGAGGGAAAGUAAUGUUUUUGUUUUAUAUGAAAAUGGGUAAAGCAGAUGGUUUGUACAGUUCCUCCAACAGCAGCAUGUGGCUUAAGUUGCAAAAUGCCCUUUGGCUUUUUAAUUAAGUGAGAAAAAUGAAUUUCUAGUAAACAGAGCUUCUUCCUGCUCCUGCCCCUAUUUGGUAAUUUGGAGGGGCUAGUGUC
Molecule: long non-coding RNA, 3550 nt
Organism: Talpa occidentalis (Iberian mole)
Lineage: Eukaryota; Metazoa; Chordata; Mammalia; Eulipotyphla; Talpidae
Exons: 3
Source: RefSeq, a predicted model, not a curated record